AUUGCAUAUUUGCUUGUGACAAAAGGGGAUACUUGUUAAAACAUUACAGACUUAAACAUGGGAGCUAUGCAAGAAGCCAGCCUUUUCCAUGCCUGUAUCAAGAAUGUUUAUGUAGUUUUAAGUCUUUCAAUAGCCUUAAAAUACACUUAUCCCGUUUUCAUACAGCAACUGAUAAACAAUUGGAGGGAAAAUUUGAAGCUAAGUUUCACUGUCAACUUUGUGAUUUUCUUGAACCCUGUCACAUUAAUGAAUAUUUUGCCCACCUUCGGCGUAGACAUCUCAAAGACCACCAAAAAGUUCAAUGUCCAUUUCAAGGCUGUAGCUUUGAAAGUAGUGUAUAUUCCACGUUCAGUGCACACAAAAGUAAGCAUCACCAAGAUCAAAAUGAGAGAAUGUUUAAACCAGAGUUAAUAGUUAGAAUAGAGAGUAAUGAGAACGAAACUGAUGACAGUGUAAUUGACACUCAGGAUUGUGCUGUGCAGGAGAUCCUUCCAGGUGAAUUUGGCCAAGAUGAAUUCAAUGCAGAAGCAAGCGAAACACAAUCUCAAGAUUUAGGACAACAAUUGGAACAUAAUUUAGCAGCUCUUUUUUUAAAAAUGCAAACCAUCCUUCACAUGCCAGAGAACUCUGUUCAGGAAGUAAUUCAACAGCUUUGCCAAAUAGUUCAGUUGUCCCUGCCACGUUUGCACAAGAAUGUGAAGGCUGUUCUUCAGAAACACUUUGGAGAUGUAGAUGAGUCAGUUUUGAAAGAGGUGGUUGAGACUGUGGCAGAGUGUGACAUAUUGUCCAAAUCAUGUGGAAAAAAUGGAUGUCUUGCAACUAGUAAAAGGAGAGCAUCAUAUGUAAUGCGUAACUUUCCUCUGGUAAUGCCUAUAGAGUUUGUUGUUGAGAAAGGAAGAAAAACAGUAGCGUAUGUUCCGCUCUUACAGAUGCUACAAAAACUGUUAAACAAGAAAGACAUUUUGGAUAAAGCUAUGUCAAAACAAGAACAUAAAACACAUGAAUAUAUGACAUGUAGUGAUGGCUCGAACUUUAGAGAGAAUGCACUUCUUAGUUGUGAUGAAUUCACAAUCGUUCUGGGUCUGUACAUUGAUGAUCUCGAAGUGGCUAAUCCUUUAGGAACAUCUAAAAGAAAACAUAAGAUGUGUGCACUUUAUUGGGUUAUUGUAAACUUGCAUGGAAAAUACAGAUCCACACUAAACUCAAUUCAGUUGGCUCUUCUGUGCAACACUGAAACAGUUAAAGAGUGUGGUUAUGAAAGAGUUCUGUACCCACUUCUUUGUGAUUUAGCAACUCUCGAACAGCAUGGGGUCUACAUUGAACAUCUUGGUAGAAGUGUUAAAGGGACAGUACUCUUUGUGUCAGCAGAUAACCUCGGUGCCCAUUCUCUUGCAGGAUUUUAUGAAAGCUUCAUUGUGGACAAGUUUUGCAGAUUUUGCAUGGCAUCCAGAAUUGACACACAACACCAAGAGAUGGCUUCUAAAGAAACCAUGACUUUGCGAGUUAUUCUUACAGAAGCUGAUAUCAGAAAAGUAAAGCUGACAUCAAAGCCAGACUCAGUUGAAGAAUUAGUUAGUUGUUUAAAAAACACUCUGAGACUGGACUACAAUUUUACUUUACAGUUUCAAGAUCCCGAGUUUGAUAACGAACUUUGCAAUCUGACCGUUUUGUCAGAGCUCCCUCAGAAGCCAACUGUGAAAAUCAUUCCGGUGAUUGAACUUGUGCCACUCUCUUCAGGUGAAAUGGAGACAUCAAGUGAUGUGUUGAGUGAUGCUACAAGUACUGCAGACACAGUAUUGACCUCGGAAUUACCCCAGGAAAAAAGAAUGCCAUGGCCUGAUAUCUUUUUGACUCCAAAAUUCUCUGUCGAUGUUGAAUUUAGGCUGCGUCAAGCAAAUUUAAUCUACUUGAAAGAUGGAACGCACCUAAAAGUGACAAAGGAAUUGAAACAUGACAUUCUUCAGAAACUUGCAGAGACCAUAUAUUCCUGCAAAGCAUACCCAACUACUGAGGAUCUACGAACUGUUGCAAAGGCUCUGGUCAAUACUCACCCCUGCCUUCAAGAACCAAGAUCUCCUUCUGGAUACUGUGGAUGGACAAACAGUUUGAAAGACAAAAUGGGAAAUUACAGAUCCAAAAUGAGGAGCCUUGGACACACAGACGUCAUGGUUAAUGCUGGGAAAAGAGGAAGAUACUCUACGAGCAGUGAUCCACCUAACAAGAACAUUAAGAAGCCAAGGAAAGGGGAGGUCAACUACUUACCUGACCUCCCAGAUGGGCAGGAUGCUUCCAGUCUUGAAAUGCUCAGACAGCAGUUGGUGGAUGAAAUGAAGAGAAAAAACCCUGAUGCCAUUUUUAUUAAUCAGAAGAUGGACAUGACUCUGUCUUUGAGGAGAAAGGAUGUUGUGAUCAACAAGCCUCCUGUAAGCCAAAUACUUCAACGUUGGCCAGCACUUUUUAGAGAAAGUCAGGUGUAUCAAGAAUUCAGCCGGGUGGUUGGGAAGAACCUUAAGCAAGAAUUUUAUGGGUCUCUUGAUCGUCACUGUCCACAACUGAUUCAGAUCUUCAGGUCAAAGAGAGGUCUCGCUGGGCAGAUUUUGAGCGAUCUUCUGCAACAAGCCAAGACCUCUGAUAUCGCAGACAUGCGAUGUGUUGCCAUGAGAGGGCUUCCAGUACUUCUUGGUGAUGACCAAACUGAGUUCUUCAAAGCAUGCUUUGCUUCUGAUGACGGAGACUCGUACCAACAUGUGCCAGUUGGAAUCCUCAGCUUAGAAAAUGAAGAUGUGGCUCUGCAACCCCUGCCCCUCCGUCUCCACCCAUCCUCGGUGGGAAUCAUCUUGGAGGGGAACGUUGUAAUGGACAAUUUAGACAACAUACCCCAGGCCAUGUGUCUGCUUUUUGGUUUAACUUAUGCACUGCACCUAGACUACCCAAAGUGCAUGGGCAACACGUUUCUUUUCAUUCAGCAAGUUUUGCUAGGUUUAGGCAAGAAGGAGUUGAAGGGCAAGAUUCUGGCUGUUACAAAUCAGCUAACCAUGUAAACAGGUUGUGGGAUUGUGAUGUCUCAGAUGAAGGCUGUGCUGCUAUGACUUCAGCUCUGAGAUCAAACCCCUCACACCUGAGAGAACUGGAUCUGUCCUGUAAUAAUCUAGGACACUCAGGAAAGAAGCUACUGUCUGAUCUUAAGGAUGAUGAACAUUACAAACUACAUAUGCUGAUGCUCUGUUGAAUAUCUGUGUGUGAUGAAGACUCCAGUAUUCCUGCAUCACCAUGAUGGAGAAUAGAGAACAUGUUUAUUAACACAUCACUCAUUUAGUUCUAACACAUUAAACAGACUCAGAGACGUGAAAAGUGUGUGUUCAUUGUGUACAGUGAAUCCGACUAAACACAAUUCUACAUUGAGUUUAU
This is an RNA transcript of Tachysurus fulvidraco (yellow catfish), 3408 nucleotides long. It is a transcript of the gene named sterile alpha motif domain-containing protein 3, with no coding region annotated. The transcript is spliced from 7 exons. The record is from RefSeq and is a predicted model, not a curated record. Lineage: Eukaryota; Metazoa; Chordata; Actinopteri; Siluriformes; Bagridae.